This 329-nucleotide ribosomal RNA is filed under the name uncultured eukaryote. RNAcentral's name for it is "partial 18S ribosomal RNA". It matches the Rfam family "Eukaryotic small subunit ribosomal RNA", at positions 1470 to 1796 of the family's 1831-position model. The record is from RNAcentral.
CCCUUAGAUGUCCGGGGCCGCACGCGCGCUACACUGAAGGAAUCAGCGUGGCUUUCUCCCUGACCCGAAAGGGUUGGGAAACCCGUUGAAUCUCCUUCGUGAUAGGGAUUGGGGCUUGAAAUUGUUCCCCAUGAACGAGGAAUUCCCAGUAAGCGCGAGUCAUAAGCUCGCGUUGAUUACGUCCCUGCCCUUUGUACACACCGCCCGUCGCUACUACCGAUUGGAUGGUCCGGUGAAGCCUCGGGAUUGUGGUUCUUGCCGCUUUGUUGUGGCGUGACCGCGAGAACUUGUCUAAACCUUAUCAUCUAGAGGAAGGUGAAGUCGUAACA